Molecule: ribosomal RNA, 580 nt
Filed under: uncultured bacterium
Lineage: Bacteria
Description: partial 16S ribosomal RNA
Rfam family: Bacterial small subunit ribosomal RNA
Source: RNAcentral
UGGGGAAUUUUGGACAAUGGGCGAAAGCCUGAUCCAGCAAUGCCGCGUGUGUGAAGAGGGCCUUCGGGUUGUAAAGCACUUUUGUCCGGAAAGAAAUCCUUGGCUCUAAUACAGUCGGGGGAUGACGGUACCGGAAGAAUAAGCACCGGCUAACUACGUGCCAGCAGCCGCGGUAAUACGUAGGGUGCAAGCGUUAAUCGGAAUUACUGGGCGUAAAGCGUGCGCAGGCGGUUUGCUAAGACCGAUGUGAAAUCCCCGGGCUCAACCUGGGAACUGCAUUGGUGACUGGCAGGCUAGAGUAUGGCAGAGGGGGGUAGAAUUCCACGUGUAGCAGUGAAAUGCGUAGAGAUGUGGAGGAAUACCGAUGGCGAAGGCAGCCCCCCGGGCCAAUACUGACGCUCAUGCACGAAAGCGUGGGGAGCAAACAGGAUUAGAUACCCUGGUAGUCCACGCCCUAAACGAUGUCAACUAGUUGUUGGGGGAUUCAUUUCCUUAGUAACGUAGCUAACGCGUGAAGUUGACCGCCUGGGGAGUACGGUCGCAAGAUUAAAACUCAAAUGAAUUGACGGGGUCAUAGCUG